This 492-nucleotide ribosomal RNA is filed under the name uncultured bacterium. Its description in RNAcentral is "partial 16S ribosomal RNA". It matches the Rfam family "Bacterial small subunit ribosomal RNA", at positions 29 to 507 of the family's 1533-position model. The record is from RNAcentral.
AGUGAACGCUGGCGGUAGGCCUAACACAUGCAAGUCGAACGGCAGCACAGUAAGAGCUUGCUCUUACGGGUGGCGAGUGGCGGACGGUUGAGGAAUACAUCGGAAUCUACUUUUUCGUGGGGGAUAACGUAGGGACACUUACGCUAAUACCGCAUACGACCUACGGGUGAAAGCAGGGGAUCUUCGGACCUUGCGCGAUUGAAUGAGCCGAUGUCGGAUUAAGUAGUUGGCGGGGUAAAGGCCCACCAAGGCGACGAUCCGUAGCUGGUCUGAGAGGAUGAUCAGCCACACUGGAACUGAGACACGGUCCAGACUCCUACGGGAGGCAGCAGUGGGGAAUAUUGGACAAUGGGCGCAAGCCUGAUCCAGCCAUACCGCGUGGAGGAAGAAGGCCUUCGGGUUGUAAAGCCCUUUUGUUGGGAAAGAAAAGCAGCAGGUUAAUACCCCGCUGUUCUGACGGUACCCAAAGAAUAAGCACCGGCUAACUUCGUG